This 253-nucleotide ribosomal RNA is filed under the name uncultured bacterium. Its description in RNAcentral is "partial 16S ribosomal RNA". It matches the Rfam family "Bacterial small subunit ribosomal RNA", at positions 524 to 776 of the family's 1533-position model. The record is from RNAcentral.
UACGUAGGGCGCAAGCGUUGUCCGGAAUUAUUGGGCGUAAAGAGCUCGUAGGCGGUCUGUCGCGUCGGAUGUGAAAGCCCGGGGCUUAACCCCGGGUCUGCAUUCGAUACGGGCAGACUAGAGUGUGGUAGGGGAGAUCGGAAUUCCUGGUGUAGCGGUGAAAUGCGCAGAUAUCAGGAGGAACACCGGUGGCGAAGGCGGGUCUCUGGGCAGUAACUGACGCUGAGGAGCGAAAGCGUGGGGAGCAAACAGG